Molecule: ribosomal RNA, 821 nt
Filed under: Arthrobacter sp.
Lineage: Bacteria; Bacillati; Actinomycetota; Actinomycetes; Micrococcales; Micrococcaceae
Description: bacterial SSU rRNA
Rfam family: Bacterial small subunit ribosomal RNA
Source: RNAcentral
GGCGGUUUGUCGCGUCUGCCGUGAAAGUCCNGGGGCUCAACUCCGGAUCUGCGGUGGGUACGGGCAGACUAGAGUGAUGUAGGGGAGACUGGAAUUCCUGGUGUAGCGGUGAAAUGCGCAGAUAUCAGGAGGAACACCGAUGGCGAAGGCAGGUCUCUGGGCAUUAACUGACGCUGAGGAGCGAAAGCAUGGGGAGCGAACAGGAUUAGAUACCCUGGUAGUCCAUGCCGUAAACGUUGGGCACUAGGUGUGGGGGACAUUCCACGUUUUCCGCGCCGUAGCUAACGCAUUAAGUGCCCCGCCUGGGGAGUACGGCCGCAAGGCUAAAACUCAAAGGAAUUGACGGGGGCCCGCACAAGCGGCGGAGCAUGCGGAUUAAUUCGAUGCAACGCGAAGAACCUUACCAAGGCUUGACAUGGACCGGACCGCCGCAGAAAUGUGGUUUCCCCUUUGGGGCUGGUUUACAGGUGGUGCAUGGUUGUCGUCAGCUCGUGUCGUGAGAUGUUGGGUUAAGUCCCGCAACGAGCGCAACCCUCGUUCUAUGUUGCCAGCACGUGAUGGUGGGGACUCAUAGGAGACUGCCGGGGUCAACUCGGAGGAAGGUGGGGACGACGUCAAAUCAUCAUGCCCCUUAUGUCUUGGGCUUCACGCAUGCUACAAUGGCCGGUACAAAGGGUUGCGAUACUGUGAGGUGGAGCUAAUCCCAAAAAGCCGGUCUCAGUUCGGAUUGGGGUCUGCAACUCGACCCCAUGAAGUCGGAGUCGCUAGUAAUCGCAGAUCAGCAACGCUGCGGUGAAUACGUUCCCGGGCCUUGUACACAC